AUGAAUAAAUCUAGUGGGUUGUAGCUGGCUCCUCGGAGCAUGUGCACGCUCAUUACCUUUAUCUAUCCACCUGUGCACAAUCUGUAGUCUUGAGGGAGAUGAGAGCAACCAGUUCAUUGGGAUUGGUUUGUGACUUUCUCUUGAGUCUAUGUGUUCUCAUACACUACUUAAUAUGUCAUUGAAUGUAUAUCAUGAGCCUUUGUGCCUAUAAAAACUUUAUA
This 221-nucleotide unclassified non-coding RNA is filed under the name uncultured Agaricales. RNAcentral describes it as "sequence contains ITS1". Lineage: Eukaryota; Fungi; Basidiomycota; Agaricomycetes; Agaricales. The record is from RNAcentral.